GGAAGCGUGGCCGAGUGGUUUAAGGCAACGGUCUUGAAAACCGUCGUAGGGGCGACUCUACCGUGAGUUCGAAUCUCACCGCUUCCGCCA
RNAcentral lists this transfer RNA (90 nucleotides) under Novimethylophilus kurashikiensis. RNAcentral describes it as "tRNA-Ser". It matches the Rfam family "tRNA". Rfam says of the family: Transfer RNA (tRNA) molecules are approximately 80 nucleotides in length. Their secondary structure includes four short double-helical elements and three loops (D, anti-codon, and T loops). Further hydrogen bonds mediate the characteristic L-shaped molecular structure. tRNAs have two regions of fundamental functional importance: the anti-codon, which is responsible for specific mRNA codon recognition, and the 3' end, to which the tRNAs corresponding amino acid is attached (by aminoacyl-tRNA synthetases). tRNAs cope with the degeneracy of the genetic code in two manners: having more than one tRNA (with a specific anti-codon) for a particular amino acid; and 'wobble' base-pairing, i.e. permitting non-standard base-pairing at the 3rd anti-codon position. The record is from RNAcentral. Lineage: Bacteria; Pseudomonadati; Pseudomonadota; Betaproteobacteria; Nitrosomonadales; Methylophilaceae.